This 499-nucleotide ribosomal RNA is filed under the name uncultured bacterium. RNAcentral describes it as "partial 16S ribosomal RNA". It matches the Rfam family "Bacterial small subunit ribosomal RNA", at positions 28 to 507 of the family's 1533-position model. The record is from RNAcentral.
GACGAACGCUGGCGGCGUGCUUAACACAUGCCAGUCGAACGGGCCCGCUCUCUUUUUUGGGGGUGGGUUGAGUGGCGAACGGGUGAGUAUCCCGUGAGUAACCUGCCCCCUGCUCCUGGAUAACUGCUUGAAAGGGCGGCUAAUACGGGGUGUGCCGGCUGGUCCGCAUGGGCCUGGUCGGGAUAGUUUCAUCUUCGGGUGUUUCGGUGGGGGAUGGGCUCGCGGCCUAUCAGCUUGUUGGUGGGGUGAUUGCCCACCAAGGCGGUGACGGGUAGCCGGCCUGAGAGGGUGGGCGGCCACACGGGGGCUGGGACACGGCGCAGACGCCUGCGGGAGGCAGCAGUGGGGGGUAUUGCACAAUGGGCGGAAGCCUGAUGCAGCGACGGCGCGUGAGGGAUGGAGGCCUUCGGGUUGUGAACCUCUUUCUCCGGUGGUGAAGGCCCUGUCCGUUGCGGCGGGGUUGACGGUAGCCGGGGAUGAAGCGCCGGCUAACUACGUG